GCCUUUAUAGUUCAACGGUAGAGCAAAAUAUUCAGAAUAUAUUGAUGUUCAAUUCAUCUUGAGGGCU
RNAcentral lists this transfer RNA (67 nucleotides) under Drepanopeziza brunnea f. sp. 'multigermtubi'. RNAcentral describes it as "Marssonina brunnea f. sp. 'multigermtubi' tRNA-Phe". It matches the Rfam family "tRNA". Rfam says of the family: Transfer RNA (tRNA) molecules are approximately 80 nucleotides in length. Their secondary structure includes four short double-helical elements and three loops (D, anti-codon, and T loops). Further hydrogen bonds mediate the characteristic L-shaped molecular structure. tRNAs have two regions of fundamental functional importance: the anti-codon, which is responsible for specific mRNA codon recognition, and the 3' end, to which the tRNAs corresponding amino acid is attached (by aminoacyl-tRNA synthetases). tRNAs cope with the degeneracy of the genetic code in two manners: having more than one tRNA (with a specific anti-codon) for a particular amino acid; and 'wobble' base-pairing, i.e. permitting non-standard base-pairing at the 3rd anti-codon position. Lineage: Eukaryota; Fungi; Ascomycota; Leotiomycetes; Helotiales; Drepanopezizaceae. The record is from RNAcentral.